This 233-nucleotide ribosomal RNA is filed under the name uncultured Anoxybacillus sp. Its description in RNAcentral is "partial 16S ribosomal RNA". It matches the Rfam family "Bacterial small subunit ribosomal RNA", at positions 1151 to 1382 of the family's 1533-position model. Lineage: Bacteria; Bacillati; Bacillota; Bacilli; Caryophanales; Anoxybacillaceae. The record is from RNAcentral.
GCCGGCUAAAAGUCGGAGGAAGGUGGGGAGUGACGUCAAAUCAUCAUGCCCCUUAUGACCUGGGCUACACACGUGCUACAAUGGGCGGUACAAAGGGUCGCGAACCCGCGAGGGGGAGCCAAUCCCAAAAAGCCGCUCUCAGUUCGGAUUGCAGGCUGCAACUCGCCUGCAUGAAGCCGGAAUCGCUAGUAAUCGCGGAUCAGCAUGCCGCGGUGAAUACGUUCCCGGGCCUU